AUGCAGAUAGAUUGUGGAUCGCACAUGCUUAAUCUGCAUAAAGCUCUGCUUCAAGUACCCAGACAGGGAUUAGUGCAACAGCUACUCAGCUGGUCUGAAGCAACGGAUGCCUACAUACAUUACAGCUCCUUCAAACUGGGAAGUUUGUGGAUACCGGAGAGAGAUGUGAAAGAUGACCAGACAAUCUUCUCAAGCCUAGGAGCAGAUCCGCUGGUGAAGACGAUCCUGGUGAUGGCCGAGCAGUCAACAACAAGAUGGUUGAGCCAUAAGAACUCAUCUUUUAAUGUAAUCUCGUUCUGUAUUCCACCAAAAGACUCGUUCAAGAGCACAAGACAUCGUAGAUUUGGUUUCUUGGCGAGUAUUUGUAGAGCGUCUUGCUCUAGCAAUGUACCACGAAGAGUCAGCUUGGCUAUUUGUGAGACAUUGCCAAAUGAUGAUAGCAGCCUGCCGCAGAAGCUGUUAUUCAACUCAAGCUCUUUCAAGUUUGGAAGCCUGUCAACUCCAGAAAUAGAACCUUUGCUGAAAGACAAAACCAUCUUGUCGAGCUCACAUGCUGCUCCAUGCUCAAAAGUGAUAGUCAAGUCCGAGUCCUCAACAAGAAGGUACUUGAGGCAUCUAAAUUGA
This 624-nucleotide ribosomal RNA is filed under the name Triticum aestivum (bread wheat). Its description in RNAcentral is "partial small subunit ribosomal RNA". The record is from RNAcentral. Lineage: Eukaryota; Viridiplantae; Streptophyta; Magnoliopsida; Poales; Poaceae.